RNAcentral lists this ribosomal RNA (237 nucleotides) under Candidatus Blautia intestinigallinarum. RNAcentral describes it as "partial 23S ribosomal RNA". It matches the Rfam family "Bacterial large subunit ribosomal RNA", at positions 2687 to 2925 of the family's 2925-position model. Lineage: Bacteria; Bacillati; Bacillota; Clostridia; Lachnospirales; Lachnospiraceae. The record is from RNAcentral.
GAGGACCGGGAUGGACUGGCCGCUGGUGUAUCUGUUGUUCUACCAAGAGCAUGGCAGAGUAGCCAAGCCGGGAAGGGAUAAACGCUGAAGGCAUCUAAGCGUGAAGCCCCCCUCGAGAUGAGAUAUCCCAUUCGAAAGAAGUAAGACCCCUUGAAGACGACGAGGUAGAUAGGGCAGAGGUGGAAGUACGGUAACGUAUGGAGCUGACUGCUACUAAUCGGUCGAGGGCUUGACCAA